GGCACCAAGCAAGAAUAGAUAUAAACAAUAGAAGAAGAGUGAAGGGAAAGAAGGAAGGAGAGGGUAUGCAGAAAAUAAAUGGGAGUAGUUCCAAGAAUGGUGAGAUAGCUCAACAACCACACACCUCUGCAAGUAAGUUGGAGAGAAAGACCUUUCUAAUAAGGAACUUAAUUAAUGGAGAAAUCCUUUUCAAAUUGUAGUGGUUUUGAGAUUGGUAGUUAGAUAUUUAUUUGCAUAUCUUCUUUAAUGACAUCUCUCUCCGUGCUCUUCUGGUUAGCUAAGCAGCCCUUAUUUGGAUUGGACAAAUAUCUAUCUCCAUGCUAAACAGAAUUCCAUCUCCGACUUAGUUCUUCCAUCUAGCUUUUGCUUCUUUUUUUUUUUUUUUUUUGCAGGUAUGAAUGAAUAUAAUUUGCCAAUGCCUGAACCUUUUUUACUCCUAAAUGUUACUCUAAUCACCAUUUUCCCUUUUUGAAGCAUUUUCAUGUUAACUUCAUUGAAUUUUGAAUCUUGUAUUGGAAGGAUGUCAUUACUAUUGGUGAUGUCACUCUUUUCGUAGGACUACUGUGCAUAUGCCUGAAACAAAGUUGGGACCAUGGGCUAUAAAACAAGUUGCUUAUUUUGGGUUUUGUUUAUCCUUCCACGGAGACUCAAAACAGAGACGACAGAGCCCAACCUUUCCUUUCUCGGUUAGCCUUUCUCUUAAUUACACACGAUCAAAUCAAGGAUUGUUAUGUCUCUCCUCUUCUCCCUUUCUUGUUAAUCUGAAUACUACUUUUUCUCAUCGUAGAAUAUUAUUGUUCGAAAACAUAUACUUUCGUAAAAUUAUAUACGAGUCCAUAAAUAUUUUUGUAACAAUUUAGUUUAUACCUCAAAAUUUGCAACAAUUUAACCUCCAAAUUCUAGCGUUUGUAGUGGAAUCAAUUUGAAACUAAGGAUUUACUUUUUAUGGUAAAAACUAUUUGUAAAAUAUAAUGAAAUUUCUUACAUUAGAGACAUAAAGUAUAAACAAAGUUAUAUAAUACAAAAUGACACCCAACUACGAUGAGAUUUUUCACAACACAGAUUAAAUAUUACAAAUUUAAAUUAAAUAGAUUGAAUUUAUACUUGUUAAAAUUAAUAAACUAAAUUGUUAAUUUAGAAGUCCAUGGAUUGAAUUUCAUGAAAGUUGGAUUUGAUAGAUAACCAUUUUGUUAAUAAAAGUAGGGUUGGGUUUUGACAACGAUUCCAACUCCCUUCCAUUGUUCCUUUUAUGUUCGUUGACUCUUGGAUCCAGUUUACUCUAUGCUAAGGAAGGCAGACUCUUAUCUCAUUUCAUUUUAGUUUCUUAAACUAUCCUUGACUGAACUACCUCCAGAUUCUCUCUUUAAUCAUCGUGCUAUGCUAUGAAAGGUGUUUAGGUCAAGAAGUGAGUUAUUAUAAUCUUUUAGGUUAUUUUAGUUUGAGUUAUAGUAAUGUGUUUGGUAUGUAUGGUUUUAGUUUGAUAAAAAAUAGUAAACUCUGCCUAAUAAAAAAAAUUUGAAGAAUGUUAAAUAGUAAAUACUAUAACAAAUUGAGAGUUUUGAAAUAGUGUUUAAUGUAGUUAAUUGAAAGCUUUUAAAUAGUAUUUAUUAUACUAAGGAUGAUUACCUCAAAGGUUCCUAUAUUUUUGUAUGCUUUCUUUUCCUAUUAUUCUUAAACUUCUAGACUCCUCCAUUCAUCCCUGAAUUUUGAAUCCAUAUUUUCAGGUAAAAUAGUAGUGAAUGUGAACAAAUAAAUACUUUACAGAUGUGCAGUAGAAACCUUAAUGGAGUGCUAUUAAUAUUGGUUAUUGUUAAUUAAUUACUAUUAAAGAGAUGUAAUUAAUUAUAGUAUUAAGUGACCCAACUUGUCUAAUUUGACCUUGACGAAGGAAUUAAUGCGACAUCUUUUGCACAUAAAGUUAAUGGGAGAAAAUUCCUUACUUGUAAGUUUGGUAAAUACUUGAAGACCUGGGCUUUAAAUGAGCAAAUUUAGUGCAUGUUUUGAUUGAUUUUUAAUGUGUCUAGAAGUAGAAAAAAAAGUUUAUAAACACUUGAAAAGUAAAUCAAAAGCACCUCAGAGAGAAAUUGAGAAAUUGUGAUUAUUUGUAUUUGAAUAAUUUGAAUUAUGCAACAGCAUUAAUCUUGAAUGAAAUCACUUCUCUUAUUACAGUUUUUGAUUAUUUGUACAAUUACAAUGUAUUUAAUGAGUUUUGAGAAACAAGAAAAGGUACAAAUUUUCUUAGACUUCUCUAAUAUGUGUAGUUCUUUGCUUCGGCAUCAAUGAUUGUGACGACAGGAUGGAAAUACUUGCAAUGCAUCUCAGGAAUCAACUUCAUAACACCGGCGUUAUGAAGAGGAGAGAUUUCAGCUUCCUUCUACGGUAUUUUCAUCAGUUCUCCACACUAUGUCUUUUAAUCCGGAUGAGAAACUCUUAUAGAACUGCCACAUGCAAAUGAAAAAGCACAUUAAUAUAUACAG
This 2477-nucleotide long non-coding RNA is filed under the name Cucumis sativus (cucumber). Its description in RNAcentral is "long non-coding RNA (CSAT_LNC000899)". The record is from RNAcentral. Lineage: Eukaryota; Viridiplantae; Streptophyta; Magnoliopsida; Cucurbitales; Cucurbitaceae.